RNAcentral lists this ribosomal RNA (977 nucleotides) under Staphylococcus aureus. Its description in RNAcentral is "partial 23S ribosomal RNA". It matches the Rfam family "Bacterial large subunit ribosomal RNA", at positions 1 to 973 of the family's 2925-position model. The record is from RNAcentral. Lineage: Bacteria; Bacillati; Bacillota; Bacilli; Caryophanales; Staphylococcaceae.
AGAUUAAGUUAUUAAGGGCGCACGGUGGAUGCCUUGGCACUAGAAGCCGAUGAAGGACGUUACUAACGACGAUAUGCUUUGGGGAGCUGUAAGUAAGCUUUGAUCCAGAGAUUUCCGAAUGGGGAAACCCAGCAUGAGUUAUGUCAUGUUAUCGAUAUGUGAAUACAUAGCAUAUCAGAAGGCACACCCGGAGAACUGAAACAUCUUAGUACCCGGAGGAAGAGAAAGAAAAUUCGAUUCCCUUAGUAGCGGCGAGCGAAACGGGAAGAGCCCAAACCAACAAGCUUGCUUGUUGGGGUUGUAGGACACUCUAUACGGAGUUACAAAGGACGACAUUAGACGAAUCAUCUGGAAAGAUGAAUCAAAGAAGGUAAUAAUCCUGUAGUCGAAAAUGUUGUCUCUCUUGAGUGAAUCCUGAGUACGACGGAGCACGUGAAAUUCCGUCGGAAUCUGGGAGGACCAUCUCCUAAGGCUAAAUACUCUCUAGUGACCGAUAGUGAACCAGUACCGUGAGGGAAAGGUGAAAAGCACCCCGGAAGGGGAGUGAAAUAGAACCUGAAACCGUGUGCUUACAAGUAGUCAGAGCCCGUUAAUGGGUGAUGGCGUGCCUUUUGUAGAAUGAACCGGCGAGUUACGAUUUGAUGCAAGGUUAAGCAGUAAAUGUGGAGCCGUAGCGAAAGCGAGUCUGAAUAGGGCGUUUAGUAUUUGGUCGUAGACCCGAAACCAGGUGAUCUACCCUUGGUCAGGUUGAAGUUCAGGUAACACUGAAUGGAGGACCGAACCGACUUACGUUGAAAAGUGAGCGGAUGAACUGAGGGUAGCGGAGAAAUUCCAAUCGAACCUGGAGAUAGCUGGUUCUCUCCGAAAUAGCUUUAGGGCUAGCCUCAAGUGAUGAUUAUUGGAGGUAGAGCACUGUUUGGACGAGGGGCCCCUCUCGGGUUACCGAAUUCAGACAAACUCCGAAUGCCAAUUAAUUU